Molecule: long non-coding RNA, 3153 nt
Organism: Dermacentor silvarum
Lineage: Eukaryota; Metazoa; Arthropoda; Arachnida; Ixodida; Ixodidae
Exons: 3
Source: RefSeq, a predicted model, not a curated record
GCCCAACCACACGUAGCACGGGAUACGCGUCUCGCUACGCGUACGCGUAAGCGUACGCGUCUCCGAGUGCGUACGCGGGUGAUGAAGGGAAGGGCGACCAGCCACACGAUACGCGCAAACGUGCGCGCUUCACUGCGCGUAGCACAGGGCUGACAGACCAGUGACGGCGGAAACGUUUCGGUUUUAGAAAAGCUUUAAUUCAUUAUGGCUGGUCGUUUCUAUUUAAUUUAUCAAUGUUACAUCUACUACAUUGUUUUUAAAUGGAGAAAUGCACGCCAUUUGUAUCUACACAUUGUUAUUAAGCAAAACUACAUCGAUCAUCAACAUCAUCACUGAUCUACCCGUGCGCGCGGUAGCGUCUGCUUGCCCACGACUGGAGUUGACAUCUGCGCGCGACCGCACGACGUUGCUAUCGAGCUUUUGUUAAUCCGCUUGCUUCGCCAGCUUCAGCGUUCGCCGCCCGCAAUGUACUACAUGAGAUUGAAGCUUUUGCUUCUUGCACAGAAGCUCUUGCUGCUGCUGCUCUUGCAAAGGCGGCGGGAACGCAGAAAGCGUCUGCAGCGACGUUGGUGGGUCCGGCCCGUCUUUCAACGGCGUAAAGAAGAAGGACUUUACUAUACGGCUGAGGUGCGUGGAAAAUGCCUUUGGCAUCACAGCAGCCCGGUGGCGCAUACUCCUCCGAACCAUCCCUUUGCAGCCUGAGAAUGUUGACUUUGUCAUCAAAGCAGCUUGCAUCUUGCACAACUUCCUGUCCAUCCUGAACGCAGAUGUGCAUCAUUUCACAGACAGGGAGGACAGUUUUGGGAAUGUUGUGCCGGGGCACUGGCGGCAAGGCAUGCCAAGGGAUGGCUCGGAGCAGGGCUACUUUCCACUUCGCACCACACGUGCCAGAAACUUUCAAGCUAGAGCUGCGGAUGCCAGCAAUCUUCUGAUGGCGUACUUCUGCAGCAGUGCUGGUGAGGUCCCCUGGCAGUGGAACCAACCUGGUGUGUCAAAGGAAGCAGCCGUGAAGCAGCCGUGAAGCAGCUCCAUGACCUACAGCUACUUCCACUCCAGUGAUAAGGAACACUGCCCAGCGUCCCUUGCUUGUGACUGCCUGCUGAGGGCAGCAAUGUUUCUGACUGCUGCCUGCUAUGAUGUGCCUCGGAAGCCUCCGGAACCAGCACAUCUUGAAGCACCGGUGAUUCCAGAGAUUCCAAAAUGUCCUGGGAUUCCAAUGACUCAUGUGACACCGUAGACAGUGUCGCUUGCGACGCUUCACCGGAUGGUGACGGCACCUCAAGCGAUGCCCGAUCAGAAAACUGGCACAUCUUUGUUAAAAUGUCCGCAGCGCUUUCCUCCUCACUCGAUGGGGGCACAGAUGGAAGGUUGCCGGAUGUCCUGCAUGUGAGCGUAUUAAGGUUUGCACAUAUUGCGAAAGUGCAAAUAAUGUGCCGGUCUAAGGGCAAAAAUAUGUAAUGGCUCAAGCCCAUCCACAUUUGUUUUAAGGUGUCAUUUUAUUAGAAAGCAACGCCGAAACUCUCAGUCAGUUUUGUAAAGCUUGUGUACACAACCAGAAUGAACAUUUUUUGCAUGCACUGAAAUGUAGCUUUUGUAUUUUUCUUUUUUUUUUUUUGCUUCUCAUACAUUUAAGCAGUUCCCCAUGAGAUCUGCGUGCCUAACGCCUAGUGAUACCUUGUACUCGAAAGAGCGCAUAUCUGGAAUGCUUCAGUUUCGAAAUACAUCAAUUAGCAUUCCACUACACUUAAUCAGUGUGCCCACUUAAUAAAUUUCAUGUUGAAAGAUGUAUGUUUCUACUCUCUCAACAUUCAGUAAUAGUAUUGUUAUGCCAUGUUUUAACAUGAGGCUUUUUCCUGUUGUUACAGUUUCUUACUUGAAAUGUUCUCGGCUUGUAACUGUUUUCCUUUCAUUGGUUUUUAAACUUCACAUCAUACUAAACUGUUUUUCUUAAUUCAUUGUAUGUAUAAACACAGUGCAAAGCUAUGUAAAAUGUAGCAGUCAGUGCAAUUGUUGUUUGUAUUUAGGAAGUUUUGUAUAAUCAUGUUUGUCACCUUGCCAUCUGCCAUGCAAGGUUUUUUGUUGGCCCAGUGAAGCUGAUUUUAGCGAGCGAACCCCUCCAGAAGGUUUCUUAAACAAAAGCUUUCUUUGCCUCUUCUUUUGACUUUCCCACCGCUGCUGCUGCUGUUUUGCCAAAUAGGUCUUACUUAAGGCAUCAUACUGAAAUUAAUGUAGUCGUUGAACCACUGUCAACCCAGCUGACUGCCGGCUACAGUCUUGCACGAGUGACCAGUACCGGACAUAGCGCAAAUACCGGAUAUAAUAACGUAAUCAGAUCGUGGUUUAGACACGUAAAAUUCCAGUAAUAACUUUUUCCACAGUGCAAAUGAGAGUAAACUGGUCAUGUACUCUCUACUUGGAAAUGUCUGCUAAGCAGUAACAGCGUUCUCCACAAACAUUGUGAAAGCUUUGCUUAAACCAAUAACCACAUCGCUUGGGAUCCACAAAGUCACCGCAGGCUGAUAAUUAGGUAAGGACACCGCUGAGCAGACACAAAAACCAGUAUUAUCAAUCACGCAGCUGACAAUGUCAUCAAUACUUUGGUGCAUUUAUUCCUACAGCAUGAGGGCACUGAAUGAAUCCUUGAGCGAGCUAGGCAAAAUUUGAGUGUGUGAUGGAGCACUGAUUUGCACAGGGCUGGCAAGCAACAAAACGCAAAAUUAAAGCUGCUCAUUGCAGUGCCCCAGACAGACGUGAAUAUAGCAAUAUUCAAUACUCGGCUAAAUACUGCUAUGCACUUGCACGCUGCCUUCUAGGAUCAGUGCAUAGAAUCAAAGGAAAGCACUUGCACCUAACACAACGCAUGCCUCUUGUGGUAUGAAUGACUAUUGCCAAAGUUUUUCUUUGUAUGUGUGUGUGUGUGUGUGUGUGUGUGUGUGUGUGUGUGUGUGUGUGCGCAUCAGGCAAGUCCUUUUCUUUUAGUUUGCCCUGCUAGUUUGUAUGUGCUAGUCUCUGCACUUCUGUCUUGUGCUUUAUUAUAUUAGGUUUGUAUGUGCUACUUUAGGUGUUAUUUUGUACUUGUUUUUCUGCUUUCUCUGCUACCCACUGCAAAGAAAAACCGGCUUUGUGGGUACCUAAAUAAAUAUACAAAACUAU